Molecule: non-coding RNA, 69 nt
Organism: Danionella cerebrum
Lineage: Eukaryota; Metazoa; Chordata; Actinopteri; Cypriniformes; Danionidae
Source: the annotation of a GenBank genome assembly
UUCCUGUCGCUCAGUCAGUAGAGCACUGCUCUAAAAAUGCAAAGAUCAUGGAUUCAAACCCCAGGGAAA